Long non-coding RNA from Cercocebus atys (sooty mangabey), 2563 nucleotides. RefSeq lists it as uncharacterized. Lineage: Eukaryota; Metazoa; Chordata; Mammalia; Primates; Cercopithecidae. The record is from RefSeq and is a predicted model, not a curated record. The transcript has 2 exons.
CUGAUUUUUCAGGCUUGCUCAAUGACUCUUAGCUUUGACCCAAAGGGAUCUCAGUGCUGUUAGGCUUCCUCUGUAUAACAUUGUCUCACCUAAAGGGGCCUCAAGUGAUUCAAAACUAGUUCUAGUAGGUCCAGUCAUUCUGUUUGCAAAGGCAAGCUUCCCAUCAAAAAGCUUGUUUCGUGCCUUGGUUCUUCCUCUCCCUCUGGCUGGUGCUCACAGGCUCUGAGAGACGGAAGGGUUCUGAUGAGCCACACACACCAACACCUAGUGUGAUGCACCGCUAUCAGACAAACAGGCCACGUACCAGGAAACUGGACCAGCCUAAGGACGGCCCUGGCUCCAGCAAGGAUCCUUGGUCCAGACAGGUUCUAGGACAGAACUUUUAGGAUUAUAAGACAAAGCGUGACUGUUUGGUCGAUUUUUGGUUUUGCCUAAAGAACAGUUUCAAGAGGUUUUUCUCAGAAGAGAGCAGUGUGGUGAGGAUUCCCGCACAAUGUCAGUUACUCCCUGACUGUAGUGUGGAAUGUGCCUUAGACAAAGAAAGUAAAUUGCUUGCGAAACUCCCAGGAUCUCAUGGCCUAAAAAAUAGACGGACUACCCUGUAAAUCCAAGCACAGGCACAUUGGGAAGGGACAAACUAGGGUACAAAGAUAAUGGGCUUUGAAUUAGUUCAUCUCCAGGGAAAAUCUGGAUGAGAAUACUUCUAAAUCUAUAAUUUUGGCCCAUUACUUUAUUGCAUCCCUCAGAAGACUGUUGGGCAAUAAUGCAUUAGAGAGUUUAGCACAGUGAUGCAAAAACUGUAAGUGCUCAACAUAUUUUAGUUCCAUUUCUUCCCUCCAUACCUGACACACAUUGUAAAGUGUGCAUGAAGAGCACAGCAUUUGUCCUCAAAGCCUGUAUGUCGCUUAGCAGAGGAGCUACAAGCAUGAACAGUUACCUACAGUGUGUCCAUACCUAUGUAAACUAGAUUAUUUUCCUCCACAAUUCCAAGUUUAAAAAAAUUGCUUUUGAAUGUAUUUGAAUAUAUUUAAUUUUUGUCUUCUUUCCUUUUCCCUUUCUGCGAUUUAUAACUAACAGACUGAAACGGGAGAGUAGAGAGCAUGUGAGAGUCACUGAGCCAAAAACCGGAGAGUUAAAGUCAGUUAACUUCUGUUGCACUGGUGCAGAAAAAUAGACUGGCUCUGAGGUUGAAGAAAUAGUCUCUGUGAGUUUCCAACAACCACGCCUGUCUUACGUCCAAAGCUGCAUUCAUUUCCCACCCUGUACUCCGCUCUUAUACUCUGUUGGAUUGAUUGGGUAGACUCCAACUCUCCUCGACAAUUUUGCAAAAACUGGCCCCAGUUAUAAUUAUUUAAAGGAAUCUUUUUCCCAUGAAAAUAUUUUCUUCACUUUUUCUGAACUGUCCUGACAUUUCCAAGAUCCUACUGUCAUACAUCUGGAAAACUAUAAUAGGAGCUGUAGUCUGGAAGACAAAGAGCCUUUGGUACCGCAAGCCCUAUCAUUGGUGAGUUUGGCGCAGUGAAGGCCUAGAGAUUCAUGACCUAGGCCCUGUGAAGUCAAGUCUUUUUACCAAGCAAAAAGAUUGGCAAUAAAAUAUUUUCACAUAGUACAUGACAGAAUACUUGUACCCAUCUUAUUUUAUUGGACAUUAAUUGCACUUAUUAAGGCACAUGUACCUUUAAAAAAAUUAAGGAAGAAAAUACUCAGAGAAAGGACUGGUGUGCGGCUGAGGAAGAAAAAUGUGUACUGCAUUCUUUAGAUGAAGCAGAAGUCGAUCAGCAACUUAAAGUCGCAAUCUAUUCAAUCUUUCAACAUUGCAAAUUAAUUCUCAUUUGGCUUGAUUGUUUGCAUUGAAAUGUAACUUCUGUGUUGGUUCUUAGAAAUUAAAAAAUAUAGAGAUUAGAAAUUUGGUUGAUGAAAACCUACAGGAACAAAAAGCAUGCAGCCUCGGCCUGAAAUGUAGAAUGGACAAAUAAAAUGUUUACAGUGCAAUAUUUUAAUGAAUAAUCCAUAGCAACAGUUGAAAUAAAGUGAUGCAUUAGACUAUAUUUGCUACAACAUAAAAUGAAACUUCGUAACAAGAUUAUGAAAGUGAUUUUUAUUAUUUUGGUAAUGGUGUCCCAGUAUAAGUAAUGAGAUACAAUUUUUUUUUAAAUUUGGUAUAUCAAACAGUAAAAGCUAUAUAUAAAUGUUGUUUCCCCAGAAUAUAUUUUGGUUACAACUAUGCAUCAUAGCUAUUAUGCACAUACUAAAAGCAUUCAUGAUAAAGUACAAAAAUAAGAAAAGAUUAAAUAAGAAGGUAUCCUUGAGUUAUAAAUGUCUACUAAAGUAUACCUUUUAAUCACACAGUUGUGUCGCAGCUAAAAACACACAAAUUAACACAUACUGCUAUGCAACUAUUUGAUCUAAUAUAGAUCUACUAGAAAAAUAUUAAGGCUGUAGUAACACUUCACAGGUAAAGGCUAAGUUCUGGGACAUGAAAGCUUUUAGAAAAUUCACAAAACAAACCUGAGACAUCUUUUUGUUUUGGAAAAAAGCAAUUUUCUUACAGAGUCAAAGCUUU